ACGUGUGAUUACUUCGGUGACGAGGGAUGACGGUCUCGUUUAGGCUGAGCUUGAAUCCAUGAAAGCGUUCCUUGGGAUCAAAGCCGGUCAUCCUGGAAAUUGAUACUUGUCAACUGAUGCGA
Molecule: small RNA, 122 nt
Filed under: Sinorhizobium meliloti 2011
Lineage: Bacteria; Pseudomonadati; Pseudomonadota; Alphaproteobacteria; Hyphomicrobiales; Rhizobiaceae
Description: putative ncRNA
Source: RNAcentral